RNAcentral lists this microRNA (22 nucleotides) under Spodoptera frugiperda (fall armyworm). RNAcentral describes it as "sfr-miR-10504-5p". Lineage: Eukaryota; Metazoa; Arthropoda; Insecta; Lepidoptera; Noctuidae. The record is from miRBase by way of RNAcentral.
AGUCGUACAUAGAGACCUGAAG